AUUGAACGCUGGCGGCAUGCCUUACACAUGCAAGUCGAACGGCAGCACGGGAGCAAUCCUGGUGGCGAGUGGCGAACGGGUGAGUAAUGUAUCGGAACGUGCCCAGUCGUGGGGGAUAACGUAGCGAAAGCUACGCUAAUACCGCAUACGAUCUGUGGAUGAAAGCGGGGGACCGUAAGGCCUCGCGCGAUUGGAGUGGCCGAUAUCAGAUUAGGUAGUUGGUGGGGUAAAGGCCUAACAAGCCGACGAUCUGUAGCUGGGCUGGGAGGACGACCAGCCACACUGGGACUGAGACACGGCCCAGACUCCUACGGGAGGCAGCAGUGGGGAAUUUUGGACAAGGGGCGCAAGCCUGAUCCAGCAAUGCCGCGUGCAGGAUGAAGGCCUUCGGGUUGUAAACUGCUUUUGUACGGAACGAAAAGCCCCGGGUUAAUACCCUGGGGUCAUGACGGUACCGUAAGAAUAAGCACCGGCUAACUACGUGCCAGCCGCCGCUGUAA
This 500-nucleotide ribosomal RNA is filed under the name uncultured bacterium. RNAcentral's name for it is "partial 16S ribosomal RNA". It matches the Rfam family "Bacterial small subunit ribosomal RNA", at positions 29 to 523 of the family's 1533-position model. The record is from RNAcentral.